Molecule: long non-coding RNA, 838 nt
Filed under: Erythranthe guttata (spotted monkey flower)
Lineage: Eukaryota; Viridiplantae; Streptophyta; Magnoliopsida; Lamiales; Phrymaceae
Description: long non-coding RNA (EGUT_LNC000355)
Source: RNAcentral
UCAGGAAUCACAUCGUCCAUCACAAACGGCCAUAUAUAUUCUGUUUCAUUUCUCGCGUCUGAUUCAUUCUUCUUCUGAUUGCUGAUCACACUCCCAAUUAUUUUGCUUUUAAAUUCAUUUUUCUCAAUUUUCACACCAUAGCUUUUAUGCAGCUCUGCUCUCUCACUCAACAAUCCUCUCCUUUGUAUCUAUAUCUCCAUCGGAACUGGUAAUUUUUACUCUCACUUCUUCGUGUUUGUGUGUGUACUCUGUUUUUUUUUUUUUUUUUUUUUUAUUUUGGGGGUUUGUUUUUGUUAUUGCCUUUCUUUCCCAUUUCUCUACGGAAUUUUGAAAGAUUAGAUUUUUUUUUUAAAUCCGUGGUAUACUGUUCAUCAGUCUGCUGUUCUCAAUUCUCCUUUUUUCCUAUUUUAUUUUAUUUUAAUUUUAAUUUUCCUUUUUUCACAGAAUUUAUACCGUUUUAUUCGCACUUUGCUCGUUACCUCUCUACUUUAUCUCCUUGGGCUGCAUUUUCAUGUGAGAAUCGCAAACGCCGACGCUCAACCGUAACCUCGCGCUUAACAUAAGCGGAUCUGCUUCGUCCGUUAUGUUUGGUAUUGUUUGGGAGGCUGAUUAUCGUUCAAUUAAUUGUAGAAUGUAUGUUACUUUGUUGAAACUGUGUUCAUGUUAGUCAAAAAUAUAUAGUUGUUUUCGUUACGGUUGUAGUUGGUAUCGAUAAUAGUCGUUUUUGUUACGGUUGUAGUUGGUAUCGAUAAUAGUCGUUUUUGUUGGAGUUCUAGUGUGUUUUUUUUGCUUUUGUUUUAGUUGAUUUUAAUAAUUUCUAGUUGAUUCAGUAUAGUUG